This 1209-nucleotide long non-coding RNA is filed under the name Heterocephalus glaber (naked mole-rat). RNAcentral's name for it is "lncRNA (ENSHGLG00000032030.1)". Lineage: Eukaryota; Metazoa; Chordata; Mammalia; Rodentia; Bathyergidae. The record is from RNAcentral.
GUGGACACCGCACUGGGUUUCUUCUCCAAUUCUAACCUGCUGUGAAGAAGUCACAUUUUAAGUGAAACCCUGGGCUGUUCUAGUUUACCAUAACUUGGGGUUUUGCUGGAUCUGGAGCUCCUGGCCAAGUCUGUUACUUCUCCCUGGAGUUGCCAUCCUCCAGGACGUACCUUCUCUCAAGUCAGUUGGUCUAGUCCACUGUCAGUGUGCUUCUUGGUUGGAGCCUCCGCUGCCAAGUGCUGAGGGGAAACAAAACAGAGCUUGGAGGUGAUUAGUGUGCAGUCCACAGGUGUGGAGAAGUAUAAUAACCAGGGUCAGCAGACUCAGUGACAAGAACACCACUUCUGUGCCUCAAAGAUGACAUCUUCCCAUUGUGUCUUCAUGUGAUGGAAGAGUCGGACGUAUGCAUCUACUGAGAGCAUAGGACAAAACGUCUUCAGAGUGAUGCGAAGGUUCUUUGUUUGAAAUGAAGCUCUGCUAAAGCAACUGCAGAGAACAUCAGUUCUCCAAGGACUACAUGUGUCUGACAAUGUUAAAGGAGGGAAUAUCCAGACCCUACAGGGACCUCAUUGUUUUAAGUUCACUUCUGUGGGAAAGCCAGUGUCAGAAGAAUAUAAACUCAAGGCUGAUAAAAAUUCGCAGUAGGUGUAACUGUCAGAAGACUGCAGUGUGGCAGAAGAGAACGGUGGAAACCACAGGCUGACCGCAUCCCUCUGUGAAGUCAACACUCCUACAGAAUAGCACUCUGCUAGAGCUACUCUCACUGAAUUCUGUUUGCAGGUACAGAGAUGCUUCUGAUGUCUGGCCAUCUGGCAGUGCGGACAGGAGAUGUCCUUGAAGCAGAUGCCCCCAUAAAAUACUAAAACUUCUUCACAACUGCUGACACCUUAGGUGGGAAGAGCAGCUCUCUUCGUUGACUCUGUAGGAAAGAACGGCAUCUGUAGUUGGAAUUGACUGCACCGACAAUGACUUUUCAACGUAAAACUAAAGAAAAUCUGGAGGAGGAGAAUAAAACAAAGAUCAUUUUCUAAAAGAAAAAAAUGGAGGAUUUGACGGCAUUCAAAAUAAUAAUGCCACCUGGAACUUGAACCAAAUUUUUCCAAUUCCAAACCUAUUGUUAUUCCCUGCCACAGCAAAAUCUACCAGGCAAGUUGUAAAUAUAAAAGGUGAGAAAUUUAAUUUUUAUGAAACAACUAAGAACAAAGGCUC